This 31-nucleotide non-coding RNA is filed under the name Rattus norvegicus (Norway rat). Lineage: Eukaryota; Metazoa; Chordata; Mammalia; Rodentia; Muridae. The record is from RNAcentral.
UAAUUUUAGUAGUACCAAAGAUGGGCUCAGU